RNAcentral lists this transfer RNA (69 nucleotides) under Pelecanus conspicillatus (Australian pelican). RNAcentral describes it as "tRNA-Asp". The record is from RNAcentral. Lineage: Eukaryota; Metazoa; Chordata; Aves; Pelecaniformes; Pelecanidae.
GAGAUGUUAGUAAACCAAUUACAUAGCAUUGUCAGCGCUAAAUCACAGGUGAAACCCCCGUACAUCUCA